This is a long non-coding RNA of Dermacentor albipictus, 844 nucleotides long. RefSeq lists it as uncharacterized. NCBI's taxonomy places the organism in Eukaryota, Metazoa, Arthropoda, Arachnida, Ixodida, Ixodidae. The record is from RefSeq and is a predicted model, not a curated record.
CGUUGAGUGGUUCCGAAAUCGCUGCGUUAGGGGCGACUGCAACCAAGCGUUGCGGCAAGUUACGGUGGGAGCUUCUGUCCGUGCUGUGUGAUUGCGACGAGGGGACCGCCGCCAGCAGCAGCGUAUCGCCGAUUUCGUCUUUCGGUUUGCACUGCAUCUUUCAUUGUGAUAUUGGAGAUCGCAACGGACAGAGACGACCAGAUGCAUACGAACCACUACCAGCGGGGACCUGUGACUUGUGCCAUAUUUCUCUUAACGUCUCAGGUAUUCAAGAAAUGCCAACAUCCAGAAGACGCCAUCUUAUCCAGCACGUUAUGGGUACACUCUGGUGGCUCCCGCCCUUGCAUCCUACCACCACUGUGUCCUGACUACGUCCACUAGAGAGUUCGAAGCCUUUGGCGGCUCCUGCCACUGCGUCCUGCCACCACCAUGUCCUGACUACGUCCACUAGGGAGUUGGCAGCCUUCGUGAUGAUGCCAAGCAGGCUGGAAGCCGACAGAAAGAUUAAGGUUGCCUAGAAAUUUUACCAAAGCCGUACCACACACUCGGGCAAGGCCUUUUUGCAAAUGGCGUAUAACCAGGCUCAACGCAUGAGUGUCGAGUGAGUCUGGAGAUCAAGGCAGCCUGCUGUGCAACCAGCAUGCAACCUUUGGUGGCCCCUCUACAUGUUCCACCUAUUUCACAGCUGCACCUCCACCGCAACUUAUCCAAACAGCAUCACCAACUGUGGUCACUCAUCGAACCAUGGACGAAUGUUGGGGUGGAGUGAUUUGAAGAGACAUUCUAUUUGUCUCUUCAAAUUCUUAGCAAAUACUUGUGUUAUUAUAAUUAAUAUGUGUCUUUA